This 254-nucleotide ribosomal RNA is filed under the name uncultured bacterium. Its description in RNAcentral is "partial 16S ribosomal RNA". It matches the Rfam family "Bacterial small subunit ribosomal RNA", at positions 524 to 776 of the family's 1533-position model. The record is from RNAcentral.
UACGGGGGGAGCAAGCGUUGUUCGGAUUUACUGGGCGUAAAGGGCGCGUAGGCGGCCUCCGCAAGUCAGUUGUGAAAUCUCCGAGCUUAACUCGGAAAGGUCAACUGAUACUGCGGGGCUAGAGUGCGGAAGGGGCGACUGGAAUUCUUGGUGUAGCGGUGAAAUGCGUAGAUAUCAAGAGGAACACCUGCGGCGAAGGCGGGUUGCUGGGCCGACACUGACGCUGAGGCGCGAAAGCUAGGGGAGCGAACGGG